UGGGGAAUAUUGGACAAUGGGCGCAAGCCUGAUCCAGCCAUGCCGCGUGAGUGAUGAAGGCCCUAGGGUUGUAAAGCUCUUUCACCGGUGAAGAUAAUGACGGUAACCGGAGAAGAAGCCCCGGCUAACUUCGUGCCAGCAGCCGCGGUAAUACGAAGGGGGCUAGCGUUGUUCGGAUUUACUGGGCGUAACGCGCACGUAGGCGGACUAUUAAGUCAGGGGUGAAAUCCCGGGGCUCAACCCCGGAACUGCCUUUGAUACUGGUAGUCUUGAGUUCGAGAGAGGUGAGUGGAAUUCCGAGUGUAGUGGUGAAAUUCGUAGAUAUUCGGAGGAACACCGGUGGCGAAGGCGGCUCACUGGCUCGAUACUGACGCUGAGGUGCGAAAGCGUGGAGAGCAAACAGG
This 404-nucleotide ribosomal RNA is filed under the name Actinomycetes bacterium. Its description in RNAcentral is "Actinobacteria bacterium partial 16S ribosomal RNA". It matches the Rfam family "Bacterial small subunit ribosomal RNA", at positions 355 to 776 of the family's 1533-position model. The record is from RNAcentral. Lineage: Bacteria; Bacillati; Actinomycetota; Actinomycetes.